GGCGGCCAUGCAUGCGCCAUCCCGCCGGCCGGCCAAUAAAUCAGGGAGCGUUUGGGUGGCCUACAGUGCGUACGUUUCGGAUAUUGAUUUCUUCGUGGAGUCUAGUGUUCGUGCGUGUGUGGUUGGUGGUAGUUGUUUGGUUUUGUUAGUGUGAGUGCGUCGUGGGUGCCGUGUACUCCUGUGUGUGUGUCAAGUGUUGCCACCUGCGAUUCCAUUUUCAUUCCGUGCGAUGAAUAAAUUAAGAAGGGGUCUUCUGGACGCGUCUAGCGGGCGCACGGCCGCCUAGGAUGCUUAGCGAGCGGCCCGACACUUCAGAUAAUUUCUUGUCUCUCCUUUUAACUAGAAUAGUCAUCUAGUAGUCCCUUUUUCUGCUAUGUAUUAAAUGUCAACAUAUGUAUCUCCUCCUAUGCAUGUGUUUGUUCGUAUUUAUUUUGUGAUUUUAAAAUUUAAAAAGGCAUAACUUUCAAUCCGUGUCUUAAAAUUAAGAUCCGUUUUCACCGUUGAAACUCUUGCGACGUGCUCUUUAAAAGUAGAUCCUACAUGGGAUGUUUUGAUGAACUAGUCUUCCUGCCAGCUAAAUAUCAAUAUGUGUGCAACUAGACUACAUGCCGCGCCAAAUGAGUAUGUGUGUCAAUUGUCCUUUUGCUAACUAAACAUCAAUGUGUGUGCAACUAGACUACAUUGCCGCGCCAACUGAGCAUAUGUGUGUGCCAAUAAUCCUGCCAACUAAACAUCAAUGUGUGUACAACUAGACUAUAUUGGCGCGUCAAUUGCGCAUAUGUGUGUGCAAUUAGUGUCCUGCCAACUGAACAUCAGUAUGUGUGCAACUAGACUAAAUUACAAGCCAACUAAGCAUAAGUGUGUGCAACUAGUCCUUCUGCCAAUUAAACAUCAAUGUGUGUAACUAUACUACAUUACAAGCCAACUAAACAUCAAUGUGUGUGCAACUAGACUAUAUUACAAGCCAACUGAGCACAAAGUAGCUGAAUAUAAAACACCCCGAUUACAUCAAGCUCCGUCAGGUCUGCUGCGGCACUGUCGGACGCGUUGAGGAGGUUGGACUUGAGCGCGGUCAGGCUCUCGGGGAAGAGGAGGGGCCGGAGUCGGAGGAUGUCGUCGGAGAGAGGAGUUUGCGGAGGAGGACAGCAGCCAUGGUGCGGAGCUCGGCGAUGGACGGGUCGAAGGAGGCCCAUAGUAGGGACAAGGCUUGCAAUCCACUACUAGAUAGUUGGUCGGGAUAGUAGACUAAUUGCACAUCAAGUUGUUAUGGUUGGUAGGUUGCAACCUCAUAUGAAGUUAGAUCAUGUAGCUCCAAAGAUGGUUUUAAAAAAAGUUGCACCAUGUAGUAUUAAAAUUGCACAAUACAGUACUUUUAGUUUCACCAUAUAGCACCAAAGUUGGCAUAUAAAAAAUUCGUCGAAACAUAUCAUGCGGGAUCUAGUUUUGAAGAUCUCGUCGCGAUGAAUCCAACGGUGAAAACGGAUCUGAAUUCCGACAUGUGGUUUAAAAGAUAUGACUUUUUAAAAAUUUAAGAGGCCAAAAAUAAAUGUGCAUGAAUCUGUUUCCAAGACUAGUCUGUACGCAUUUAAUCCUAACAAAAACAUCCACUAGCUGACGAAAAAACACACGUAUGAGUAACAAGCCGGCCGCCUGUUUCUACGAAAUAGUGCGCGUGCACUUUAAAGGUUUUAAGUUGUUUAAUUAGGGGCUGUCUACCAAACAUCCACAAAGGCACACUGAUGCGGAAGCAGAGUCUUUGCGAUCCGCUAAAUCGUGGGAUUCUCCAUAUAUUUUAAGUUUGAUUUUUUUAAAAAACUUGAUGAUUAAACUUGUGGGAUUUCUCGCAUGUUUAAGUUUUGAAUUUCGAAACCUGAUGAUUUUAUUGUUCACUUCUAGUAUUAUGUUUGUUGGGAAUCGUAGCAUAAUUUAAAAUUUUCCUACGCUCACCAAGAUGCAUCUAUGGAGUCUACUAGCAACGAGGGGAAAGGAGUGCAUCUACAUACCCUUGUAGAUCGCGAGCGGAAGCGUUCCAAUGAACGUGGAUGACGGAGUCGUACUCGCAGUGAUCCAAAUCACCGAUGACCGAGUGCCGAACAGACGGCACCUCCGCGUUCAACACACGUACGGUGCAGCGACGUCUCCUCCUUCUUGAUCCAGCAAGGGGGAAGGAGAGGUUGAUGGAGAUCCAGCAGCACGACGGCGUGGUGGUGGAUGUAGCGGGUCUCCGGCAGGGCUUCGCCAAGCUUCUGCGAGAGAGAGAGGUGUUGCAGGGGAGGAGGGAGGCGCCCAAGGCUGUGGUUUGCUGCCCUCCCUCCCCCUCACUAUUUAUAGGACCCCUGGGGGGCGCCAGCCCUUGGGAGAUCAGAUCUCCAAGGGGGGCGGCGGCCAAGUGGGGGAAAGGGGGUGCCUUGCCCCCCAAGGCAAGGGGGAAAGCUCCCCCUAGGGUUCCCAACCCUAGGCGCAUGGGGGGAGGCCCAAGGGGGGCGCCCCAGCCCACUAAGGGCUGGUUCCCUUCCACUUUCAGCCCACGGGGCCCUCCGGGAUAGGUGGUCCCACCCGGUGGAUCUCCGGGACCCUUCCGGUGGUCCCGGUACAAUACCGGUAACCCCCGAAACUUUCCCGGUGGCCGAAACUGGACUUCCUAUAUAUAAUUCUUCACCUCCGGACCAUUCCGGAACCUCUCGUGACGUCCGGGAUCUCAUCCAGAACUCCGAACAACUUUCGGGUUUCCGCAUACAUAUAUCUCUACAACCCUAGCGUCACCGGACCUUAAGUGUGUAGACCCUACGGGUUCGGGAGACAUGCAGACAUGACCGAGACGCCUCUCCGGUCAAUAACCAACAGCGGGAUCUGGAUACCCAUGUUGGCUCCCACAUGCUCCACGAUGAUCUCAUCGGAUGAACCACGGUGUCGAGGAUUCAAUCAAUCCGUAUGCAAUUCCCUUUGUCAAACGGUAUGUUACUUGCCCGAGAUUCGAUCGUCGGUAUCCCAAUACCUUGUUCAAUCUCGUUACUGGCAAGUCUCUUUACUCGUACCGCAAUGCAUGAUCCCGUGACUAACGCCUUAGUCACAUUGAGCUCAUUAUGAUGAUGCAUUACCGAGUGGGCCCAGAGAUACCUCUCCGUCACACGGAGUGACAAAAACCCAGUCUCGAUCCGUGCCAACCCAACAGACACUUUCGGAGAUACCCGUAGUGCACCUUUAUAGUCACCCAGUUACGUUGUGACGUUUGGCACACCCAAAGCACUCCUACGGUAUCCGGGAGUUGCACGAUCUCAUGGUCUAAGGAAAAGAUACUUGACAUUGGAAAAGCUCUAGCAAAUGAAACUACACGAUCUUUUAUGCUAUGCUUAGGAUUGGGUCUUGUCCAUCACAUCAUUCUCCUAAUGAUGUGAUCCCGUUAUCAAUGACAUCCAAUGUCCAUAGUCAGGAAACCAUGACUAUCAGUUGAUCAACGAGCUAGUCAACUAGAGGCUUACUAGGGACACGUUGUGGUCUAUGUAUUCACACAUGUAUUACGAUUUCCGGACAAUACAAUUAUAGCAUGAAUAAUAGACAAUUAUCAUGAACAAAGAAAUAUAAUAAUAACCAUUUAUUAUUGCCUCUAGGGCAUAUUUCCAACAGUCUCCCACUUGCACUAGAGUCAGUAAUCUAGUUCACAUCACCAUGUGAUUAACACUCACUGGUCACAUCACCAUGUGACCAACAUCUAAAGAGUUUACUAGAGUCAACAAUCUAGUUCACAUCACUAUGUGAUUAUCACUCAAUGUGUUCUGGUUUGGUCAUGUUAUGCUUGUGAGAGAGGUUAUUAGUCAACGGGUCUGAACCUUUCAGAACCGUGUGCUUUACGAAUAUCUAUGUCAUCUUUGUGGAUGCUACCACGCGCUAUUUGGAGCCAUUUCAAAUAAUUGCUCUACUAUACGAAUCCGGUUUCCUACUCAGAGUCAUCCGGAUUAGUGUCAAAGUUCGCAUCGACGUAACCCUUUACGACGAACUCCUUUCCACCUCCAUAAUCGAGAAAAUUCCUUAAUCCACUAGGUACUAAGGAUAAGUUCGACCGCUGUCAUGAGAUCCUUUCCCGGAUCACCAUUGUACCCUCUUGACCAACUCAUGGCAAGGCACACUACAUGUGCGGUACACAGCAUAGCAUACUAUAGAGCCUAUGUCUAAAGCAUAGGGGACGACCUUCGUCCUUUCUCUAUCUUCCGCUGUGGUCAGGUCUUGAGUCUCACUCAAUACUCACACCUUGUAACACAGCCAAGAACUCCUUCUUUGUUGAUCUAUUUUGAACUCUUUCAAAAUCAUGUCAAGGUGUGCUGUCUUUUGAAAGUAUCAUCAGGCAUCUUGAUCUAUCUCUAUGGAUCUUGAUGCCCAAUAUGUAAGCAGCUUUAUCCAAGUCUUCCUUUGAAAAACUCCUUUCAAACAACCCUUUAUGCUUUCCAGAAAUUUUACAUCAUUUCGGAUCAACAAUAUGUCAUUCACAUAUACUUAUCAGAAAUGUUGUAGCGCUCCCACUCACUUUAUUGUAAAUACAAGUUUCUAACAAACUUUGUAUAAACCCAAAAAAAAACUUUGAUCACCCCAUCAAAGCGUAUAUUCUGACUCCGAGAUGCUUGCUCUAAUCCAUGGAAGGAUCGCUGGAGC
Molecule: long non-coding RNA, 4644 nt
Filed under: Triticum aestivum (bread wheat)
Lineage: Eukaryota; Viridiplantae; Streptophyta; Magnoliopsida; Poales; Poaceae
Description: long non-coding RNA (TAES_LNC009249)
Source: RNAcentral